GUAGGUGGCAAGCGUUGUCCGGGAAUUAUUGGGCGUAAAGCGCGCGCAGGGCGGUCCUUUAAGUCUGAUGUGAAAGCCCACGGCUCAACCGUGGAGGGUCAUUGGAAACUGGGGGACUUGAGUACAGAAGAGGAAAGCGGAAUUCCAAGUGUAGCGGUGAAAUGCGUAGAGAUUUGGAGGAACACCAGUGGCGAAGGCGGCUUUCUGGUCUGUAACUGACGCUGAGGCGCGAAAGCGUGGGGAGCAAACAGGAUUAGAUACCCUGGUAGUCCACGCCGUAAACGAUGAGUGCUAAGUGUUAGGGGGUUUCCGCCCCUUAGUGCUGCAGCUAACGCAUUAAGCACUCCGCCUGGGGAGUACGGCCGCAAAGGCUG
This 374-nucleotide ribosomal RNA is filed under the name uncultured organism. RNAcentral's name for it is "partial 16S ribosomal RNA". It matches the Rfam family "Bacterial small subunit ribosomal RNA", at positions 527 to 896 of the family's 1533-position model. The record is from RNAcentral.